UACGAAUUUUAUACCACACUUGUCUAUACAUUUUUUGAAAUUCUAUCAAUCAUUGUGUAGUUGUACUCUCUGUUUGGUUAGUCAUUAGAUAUUUGGCACAGGUAUUAUUCCUCCACGAUUAUUCGUGGUCAUAACCGUGUAAUACAACCGUCUUUUUUUAAUUAUUUCUGUCUAAGUAAAUAUUUAUCUAUGCAAUUUUUUUGAAGUGAAAACUUCUCUUGGGAGGCUCUGGAUUUCAUAGGAGUAAACAAGUGAAAUGAUUAAUAAAUUGCACAGAAUUUUUUUUCUUUAACUGCACAUAGUGAAGUUUGCCUUUC
Molecule: non-coding RNA, 317 nt
Organism: Cinara cedri
Lineage: Eukaryota; Metazoa; Arthropoda; Insecta; Hemiptera; Aphididae
Source: the annotation of a GenBank genome assembly